RNAcentral lists this ribosomal RNA (268 nucleotides) under uncultured Butyrivibrio sp. RNAcentral's name for it is "partial 16S ribosomal RNA". The record is from RNAcentral. Lineage: Bacteria; Bacillati; Bacillota; Clostridia; Lachnospirales; Lachnospiraceae.
AAUGUCGAUAAACAAAGGGGAAUGCAACCCUGCGUAAAUGUGAGACAAAUCCCCAAAAAUAACGUACCCAAUUCCGGGGACUGGUAGUGCUGCAACCCCGCCUGGCACUAAAGCUAGGAAUCGCUAGUUAAUCGCAGAAUCACGAAUGCUGCGGGUGAAAUACGUUCCCGAGGUCUUGUACACACCCGCCCGUACUACACCAUGGGAGUCUGGAGAAUGCCCAAAGUAAGUGGCCUAACCGUAACGAAUGUGUCCCCCAUCAUAUAGA